CGGAGGGGCGGUGCUUGUGGCGGCGUGAGGGGUUCGGCUGCCUUGUCAGCCUGAGGUGGUCUGCUGCUGCAUGUGGUCUCUCCUCUCGCUGCUGCGUCCCCUUGGCCUGCGCACCAUGUCGCAGGGUUCGGCUCGCCGGCCGCGGCCGCCCAAAGACCCACUGCGACACCUGCGCACGCGGGAGAAGCGCGGCCCUGGCUGGGGGCCCGGGGGCCCGAACACCGUGUACCUGCAGGUGGUGGCGGCGGGCGGCCGGGAUGCGGGCGCUGCUCUCUACGUCUUCUCGGAGUACAACAGGUACCUUUUUAACUGCGGAGAAGGCGUCCAACGACUUAUGCAGGAACACAAACUGAAAGUCGCUCGCUUGGACAACAUAUUUCUGACUCGGAUGCAUUGGUCAAAUGUUGGGGGAUUGUGUGGAAUGAUUUUAACUUUAAAGGAAACUGGGCUUCCCAAAUGUGUUCUGUCUGGACCACCACAACUGGAGAAAUAUCUGGAAGCAAUCAAAGUAUUUUCCGGUCCAUUGAAAGGAAUAGAACUGGCCGUGCGGCCUCACUCUGCACCAGAAUACAAGGAUGAGACCAUGACUGUUUACCAGGUCCCUAUCCACAGUGAUGAAAAGGGGUGUGGAAAGCAACAGCCAUCUCAGAGCCCCAAAAGACAUCCCAACAGGCUCAGUCCCAGACAAUCAUUGGAUUCUGGAGCAGCUGAAAAUGGGCAGUGCCCUCCAGAGGGCAGCAGUGCAGAUGUCAACUGGAAAGCAUGGGGCAGGGACCCCUCCCUAGUGGUAGCUUUUGUCUGCAAGCUUCACCUAAGGAAAGGAAACUUCUUGGUGCUUAAAGCAAAGGAGCUGGGCCUUCCUGUUGGGACGGCCGCCAUUGCACCCAUCAUUGCUGCUGUCAAGGAUGGGAAGAAUAUCACUUAUGAAGGAAGGGAGAUUGCUGCUGAAGAGCUUUGUACACCCCCAGAUCCAGGUCUUGUAUUCAUUGUGGUAGAGUGUCCCGAUGAAGGAUUCAUCCUGCCCAUCUGUGAGAAUGACACUUUUAAAAGGUACCAGGGAGAAGCUGAUGCACCUGUGGCGCUGGUGGUCCACAUAGCCCCAGAGUCUGUGCUCAUCAACAGCAGGUACCAGCAGUGGAUGGAGAGGUUCGGGCCUGACACACAGCACCUGAUUUUGAAUGAGAAUUGUCCCUCGGUCCACAACCUGCGCAGCCACAAGAUUCAGACCCAGCUCAGCCUCAUCCACCCCGACAUCUUCCCCCAGCUCACCAGCUUCUAUAGUAAGGAGGAAGGUUCUGCCUUCAACACGCGGACCGUUCGGGGUCAAUGCCUCCUCAAGUAUCAGCUCCGCCCCAGGAGAGAGUGGCAGAGGGAUGCCACACUCGACUGCAAUACUGAUGAAUUCAUAGCUGAGGCCCUGGAGCUCCCCAGUUUCCAGGAGAGUGUGGAGGAGUACAGGAAGAACAUGCAGGAAAGCCCAGCCCCAGCAGAGAAAAGAAGCCAGUAUCCUGAAAUUGUCUUCCUGGGCACGGGGUCUGCCAUCCCAAUGAAGAUCCGAAAUGUCAGUUCCACACUCGUCAACCUAAGCCCUGACAAGUCUGUGCUGCUGGAUUGUGGAGAAGGCACUUUUGGGCAGUUGUGCCGGCAUUAUGGACAGCAAAUAGACAGAGUCUUAUGCAACCUCACUGCUGUGUUUGUGUCCCAUCUGCAUGCGGACCACCACACGGGCUUGCUGAAUAUCUUGCUGCAGAGAGAGCAUGCGUUGGCGUCUCUGGGGAAACCUUUCCAGCCCUUGCUAGUGGUGGCCCCUACCCAGCUCAGGGCCUGGCUGCAGCAAUAUCACAACCAGUGCCAGGAGAUUCUGCACCACAUCAGUAUGAUUCCUGCCAAAUGUCUUCAGAAAGGGGCAGAGGUCUCCAAUCCCCCAGUGGAGAGGCUGAUCAGCUUGCUGUUGGAAACUUGUGACUUAGAAGAAUUUCAGACCUGCCUGGUACGGCACUGCAAGCAUGCUUUUGGCUGUGCGCUGGUACAUUCAUCUGGCUGGAAAGUUGUCUACUCAGGGGAUACCAUGCCCUGUGAGGCUCUGGUCCAGAUGGGGAAAGAUGCUACCCUCUUAAUACAUGAAGCCACUCUGGAGGAUGGCAUGGAAGAGGAAGCAGUAGAGAAGACACACAGCACCACCUCCCAGGCUAUUAAUGUGGGGAUGCGAAUGAAUGCUGGGUUCAUCAUGCUGAACCACUUCAGUCAGCGGUACGCCAAGAUCCCCCUUUUCAGCCCUGACUUCAACGAGAAAGUUGGCAUCGCCUUUGACCACAUGAAGGUCUGCUUUGGAGACUUCCCGACAGUGCCCAAACUGAUUCCCCCACUGAAGGCCCUGUUUGCAGAUGACAUUGAAGAGAUGGUGGAACGCAGGGAGAAGAGGGAGCUGCGGCUGGUGCGAGCAGCCCUCCUGACCCAGCAGGCAAACAGCCCAGAGGACAGAGAACCCAAACAGAAGCGAGCCCACACAGAGGAACCACACAGCCCACAGAGCAAGAAGGUCAGAGCCCAGUGAAGGCCUAAACCAUCCUGGACUGAAGGCUGUGUUCUCUGCCCUGUGUGGAAGCCACAUCUGUCAUCUUGGUGGGAGCCAGCGCACACAACUAGCCAGGAGGCAGCAUGGAAUCAGAGUAUGCAGUCCUCCGUGGCCAUGGCUGGGGGAGCACCCAUCUUUCAGGUGCCUCCGACUCCUGGAGGAGAACACAGUGGCAGGACAGGAGACUACACAGUCGAAGACAGCAAGCCAGUCUUAAAAGAAGUCAUGGAAAUUGAGGAGAGCGUGGGAAGCACUUUAGAAACGCCAGUGUGAGACAGCAAGGACUUGGCCUUCCCUGGUGGCAACCUUCAGACUUCCGCAUGGGACAGCACAGGAUGUUGGUACUGCCUUGCAGCCUUCACUGAAACAAGACCAUGUGCCAAGCUCAGGGUUAAUAAAUCUAUUUUAAUAACA
Molecule: RNA transcript, 2989 nt
Organism: Mastomys coucha (southern multimammate mouse)
Lineage: Eukaryota; Metazoa; Chordata; Mammalia; Rodentia; Muridae
Gene: Elac2
Gene name: elaC ribonuclease Z 2
Exons: 25
Source: RefSeq, a predicted model, not a curated record